GAUGAAGAACGUAGCGAAAUGCGAUAAGUAAUGUGAAUUGCAGAAUUCAGUGAAUCAUCGAAUCUUUGAACGCACAUUGCGCCCGCCAGUAUUCUGGCGGGCAUGCCUGUUCGAGCGUCAUUUCAACCCUCAGGGCCCUUUUGGACCUGGCGUUGGGGCUCGGCCGCUACCCUGCGGCCGUCCCCGAAAGAUAGUGGCGGUCUCGCUGUAGCCUCCUCUGCGUAGUAGUUACAUCUCGCACUGGAACGCGGCGCGGCCAUGCCGUUAAACACCCCACUUCUCAAGGUUGACCUCGGAUCAGAUAGGAAUACCCGCUGAACUUAAGCAUAUCAAUAAGCGGAGGA
RNAcentral lists this unclassified non-coding RNA (344 nucleotides) under soil metagenome. RNAcentral's name for it is "partial contains 5.8S ribosomal RNA, internal transcribed spacer 2, and large subunit ribosomal RNA". The stretch from base 1 to 120 matches the Rfam family "5.8S ribosomal RNA", at positions 35 to 154 of the family's 154-position model. The record is from RNAcentral.